GACGAACGCUGGCGGCGUGCUUAACACAUGCCAGUCGAACGGAAAGGCCCUGCUUGCAGGGUACUCGAGUGGCGAACGGGUGAGUAACACGUGGGUGAUCUGCCCUGCACUUCGUGAUAAGCCUGGGAAACUGGGUCUAAUACCGGAUAGGAGCCAUUUUUAGUGUGGUGGUUGGAAAGUUUUUUCGGUGUAGGAUGAGCUCGCGGCCUAUCAGCUUGUUGGUGGGGUAAUGGCCUACCAAGGCGGCGACGGGUAGCCGGCCUGAGAGGGUGGACGGCCACAAUGGGGCUGGGGUACGGGCCAGGAUCCUACGGGAGGCAGCAGGGGGGAAUAUUGCAAAAUGGGCGCAAGCCUGAUGCAGCGACGCCGCGUGGGGGAAGACGGCCUUCGGGUUGGAAACUCCGUUCGCUAGGGACGAAGCUUUUUGUGACGGUACCUAGAAAAGAAGCACCGGCUAACUACGUG
Molecule: ribosomal RNA, 465 nt
Filed under: uncultured bacterium
Lineage: Bacteria
Description: partial 16S ribosomal RNA
Rfam family: Bacterial small subunit ribosomal RNA
Source: RNAcentral